Molecule: ribosomal RNA, 493 nt
Filed under: uncultured bacterium
Lineage: Bacteria
Description: partial 16S ribosomal RNA
Rfam family: Bacterial small subunit ribosomal RNA
Source: RNAcentral
GACGAACGCUGGCGGCGUGCUUAACACAUGCAAGUCGAACGGUGAAGCGCCUUCCUUUUUGGUGGGUGUGGAUGAGUGGCGAACGGGUGAGUAACACGUUAGUAACCUGCCCCCUUCUUCUGGAUAACCGCAUGAAAGUGUUGCUAAUACGGGAUAUUCUGGGUCUGUCGCAUGAUGGGUCUGGGACAGAUUUUGUUUCGGUUGGGGAUGGGCUCGCGGCCUAUUAGCUUGUUGGUGGGGUGAUGGCCUACCAAGGCGGUGACGGGUAGCCGGCCUGAGAGGGUGGACGGUCAGACGGGGAGAGAGACACGGGACAGACACGGAAGGGAGGCAGCAGUGGGGAAUAUUGAACAGUGGGCGCAAGACGGAGGCAGCGACGGCGCGUGAGGGAUGGAGGCCUUCGGGUAGUGAACCUCUUUCGCGAGGGAAGAAGGCCUGCCUCGUUUGUGGGUGGGUUGACGGUAGCAGGAUAAGAAGCGCCGGCUAACUACGU